UCUGUUCCACUUAAGAAUGUUUACAAAAGAUUCUUCUUAACUUUAACACCUCGACUAUAAUAUCUUACUGUAAAAUAUAGCAGUAAAUAAUGUAAAAUGUAGCAACACUGUACAAAGUAUUAUGAUAAAGGAGAGAAAAGGCAUAUCGAAUAAAUUUCCUCCAUUACAAUAAAUUAUUCAUACUACUUUUUAUUUUUCUCGCAAUAUACCAAUGUAAAAAAGAUGAACAUUUUUUAAUCGUACAAACGGUCGUAGUCCGAUCAGGCGAAUGCUUCAGAGAGUUCGCAUGGUUUGUGCAGUUUCUUGCGAAAUUUCCAGGAUACUGUGAGGUCUUGAGCAUCCUCAUUCAAAUUCGAUAUUCCAAAUAUUCGCACGUGCUCAGUUCUCACGCCUACUACGUGUACCGUGUAACAGUUUAUCCUUCUCUCUAUCUGUUCUCCUGUCAGAAACGCGCGCGAACUCGCGAUUUAUUUCGGUCGCCACUUUAUCCAAACUUAUGUCACAAUCGCGCCUCGACGGAUCUUUCGGAUCAAAUCCAAGGUCUGGGAAGAAAUUAGAAUGAAGAUCUGGCUUGGUGGUGACGAUAUGCAUUUUCUACUAUAUUCCGACAUUCUAAUAGAAGACCAUUUAAUAUUUAGGGUAUAUUUUAGUUUUAAGACACGGGCACGUAAAAGAUUGAGUAUUACAAUUUUAAUUAGAAGACGUAGUUUCGGCUGUUUGAAUGAAAAGACACGUGUACACGAAACACGUGCAAUCACUUUGUACGUCUACGCUACAUACACACUACUAUUCUUGAGAUAAAGUAGCAAAGCAAAUAACAAAUAAAAUAAAAAUUUUAUUUGAAUUAUUGCUUGGAUAAAAACUUAUUUGGAUAAUGCCAAAUCUUGUAUCACAUAUCUACAAGUAUACGUGAAAUGUUUCCAAUUGGGGGGAGAUUUCCAAUUUCAAUUGACAACAUCCACGAGGUAGAACAUUUUUCAACUUUAUUGAAUUAUUUCCUUGUUUGUUUAUUACACGGUGGAAUUUCGAUUUCGUUGUUUGACUAGAUAGUUGGUUUUUCAUUUUAUAUUUUUAUUUUAUAUGUUACAUUUAUUACAAUUUAUUCAUUUCUAGUUUCAGUAGUAUAUUGUAUCGUAAGGAAAAGAAACCUGUCUACGGUGAUAAGUGAACAAGAGUAAUAAUAUUUCAUUUCGUAUCGUAGGACAUAAAUAUGGCAAUAAAUUUAACGAGAAUACUGCUGGUGUAUUCUUGGAAAAUUACGAAUGAAAAAAUAUUUAUAUUUUACGACUUCCUGAGUGACCCUGGUAAGAGAGAAAUGAUUAAGGCCAGAAAGCUCUCUGUGGCCAACAAGGUGAAAUGCGUAUUUCAAUUUGGCUUUAUCAUAAUUUAAAAAUAUUCAUGUUAAAUAAAAAGAAAGAACAAAAUAGAGAUAAUAAUGAUUUAAAGAUUAUCACGUACGCUUAUACAUUUAAAUGUGUAUUAUACUGGACAAAAUGUUUCUAUUUUCUUUAUUUACCAACAGAGUGUUAUAUUCUUCUUAAUAUCAUUUUAAUAUUAAAAAAUAUCUACUGUUAGUUACAGUGUUAUUUAAACUCGUCAUAUGAUCCACAUGUUUCGCAAGAUUUGUCAUGUCAAAACGAUGAAAAGAUAAUCAUGCGAAGCAAAUUGCAAUGAUAAUAGUUUAAAUGCUAUAUUUUUGUAUGAAAUGCAUAUUUACUGCGUCGAUUAGAAUUAUAAUUAACAUUACAAAUCUGCUUAUUUUCUAUUUUCAGUAUUGCAUCAUUCUGUAUAUUGUAUUCUCAUUGACAUGUUUAUAAUGACGUUAUAAAAAGUGAUAAAAUAUCCAUUCGUUAUUAAAAUUCGGUAUAUUGGCUACGAAAUGAUUAAAAAAAAAAAAAAGAAAAAACGGAAUAAAUAAAGCGAAAUAAAAACUAGCGAUGACGGCUUUUAAUGGUCCAUCGUUUGAACGAGAAUGGAUGGUGAAAUGGAAAUGAUCUGCGUUCUCAUUCAUCCACGACAGAUAUAUGUAUACGUAUAUCAAACGAUGUUAAAAAAGAUAGUCGAGAAAUGUUGGCUACUAUCCAUCAUGUUAUCAGAAAAUGUGGAAAUCCCUCGAUGAGAUAAUAAUGCUUUCACAUAUACAGCCACGUCAAUGGAAAAGUAGUUCUCUUGAUCUUAUUUUUCAUCAAGGAUCUGCAUGUUGAUUUGGCUAAUUUACGGUGAUUAAUUGCUAGGAAGAAAUUUUAACUGUUUCAAAGUGUACCAAGAUAUAAAUAUCGAAUUAAAUAAAUAAAUCUCCAAUAUUUAAUAAAACGUAUGCGACAUAGAAAAAAAGAACACCUGAAAGGAAAAUGAAAUCGCACGGAUUCGAAUGAAUAUUCAUGAUCAAUGAAAUACUAGUUUUUCCGCGCUGAAAAAACGGCAAAACGUUUAGAAAUUGCGGUAUACGUGUAUUUUGAGAAACGUUUGGUUGGCGGGUGGUGACGAUAAAUAAGAAAAGGUGCGCAUAAUUUUAUAAAAUAAUAUUUCAUUCGUUUGCAACAUCGCAACAAAACAUGCAGCGAUAAUUCGUGGCCACGAAUAUUUUUACGUCUUAUAAAAGAUUACCACAGGACAGAUUUUUGGCAUCGGUUUAAUUUCCUUGCUUUUUUACGAAUAAUUUCUGAGUAAUACGUAUGCGUACAUCUGUUCAACGCGAAGAUUAAAUUCUCGAAGCUCCUAAAAAUUCUAAAACUUCAGCCAAAAUGAAAUUUAUAAAAUGUGGCACAAUACUAAUUCAAAUAAUUUUUCGCAAAUUCUUCUAUUAUAUAUUUUCCUAUAAAGACAUAGUCCUACGUCUAUCUACAAUUCAUUAAAAAAAAAAAAAAAAAAAAAGGCAAAUACGUAGAUAUUGCAAAAUAUUUAUCUUCGGAUACGAGUCACUGUAUCAACAAUAUCGUUGUGGAAAUUUAAGACUGACGCAAUAAACACUACCUGGAGUGCUGCGUUGUUGCAACUUGUUUAGACGCAGCGUAAACAGUUUGUUUCUCUAUCGAUCAAUGGCUUGACACGCGCAUCGCAAAUCGGUUUUUUGAAUUUCAAGUCAUUCCUCGUUAUCGUGGACCAAUUGCAAGCUGUAGUUCUCAGUACUACGAACUUGCGUCAUUUCGUUUGCGUAAUUAGCAAAAAUUCUGCAACACGAUUCAUCCCAUUGACGCACAAUACGAUGAAAGAGGAAAACGAGUAACGAACGGUGUGAAAGACCAAACAGUUCCUGUUCCAAGGCUCAUGCUGUUUCUCAUCUACGAAACGACAUAAUAGUUGAAGCCACCGCGAAUAAUUAUUCCAUCUACAUACCGUUAUUAAAGAAGAAAGGAAACAUCGUAAUCCAUAUCACAGCUACCACAAAGAAACUCAAUUUAUCUGUCAUAAAAUUUUAUCUCCAGCUACAAAAAAUCUACUAUCUCAAUUAGGAUAUUACACGUAGGAACGAUUUAGAACGAGCCGAAGACUGAUAAUGGAAUGGUUGCGAUCUCGCAUUUAACAAACCAGUAGAGGUAGUAAAAAAAAAAACAUGGGCACGUUCUCCGACUUUGGGUCUUGUGUAUCUCUACAAACGCGCUUGAUACGCUUCUACAAUGAAAAUCCGCUCGAGGAGAUUACAACACAGCUUGCUCAACCAGCCUUGAGGAAAUAAUUACCAAGGAAGAGGAAGUAUUUCGUUGUUUCGUUGCAAAAGUGUAAUAUUAGACUGUAACGUAUAAAAUGACCUAACAAUUCCAAAAUUCUACAUUUCUAUUCAAAUUGUCCUUCGUUGUGGAUCUCCUAUAAAAAUGAACGUUUACACAAACAUCCACUCUACCAACGAUAAUCCUCAUCCUCUUCAUUCAUGCGCAAAUAAGCGAGCCUCUCACAGACCAAACAGGUCAACUCCACUUUUUAAACAAUUUCUCAAUUUCUCAAUUUAAGCAACUGAUUAAUAUUCGAUUCUCGGGAAGCAAAUUGUCUACUACCACGAGUAUUUACCUACAUUCAUUUGUUACAAGAAGAUGACAAGAAUAACGAUACUGAGUGCCAAGAUUUUCAAAAAUAGUGUUUCAAAUAUCAUCGCCUUUCGAUGCUUUUCGAUUUAAUGUGGCUAACGUCGAAACCACGUGGAUGCAACAACUUGUAGUCAACGAUAUCCUCGAGUCGAUAAUAUCUCCUUCGACUUGGAACGUGGCUAAAGAGCAAGGGUCACAUUGGAAAAGGAAAAGGACAGAGACGGAAAUUACAUACUCUUUCAAUAUGAAACCAACGUGUGAUGUGUAAACCUGCAUAAAGAAGCUUUCUCUUUAAUCUAUAAACGGGUGCAUAUCGGCCAACAUGAUGAAUUGAAGAGAAAUUGUGUAGGUUGAAUAUUCGCAAGUAGGUCGAGAAGUUCAUUAGAAUUCUAUAAAGUACCAUUACAUUUUUUUCAUGAGAGAGAACAGUAAUUUUCUACUUAUUUUAAUAUGAUCUUCUGACAGUAUACCGAACGAUUCUAUAGAUAAUACUUUUUUAAUUUACUUUAAUUUAAUUUAACUUAUUUGUCAGGAGAAGCACGAAUCUUUUUGGGUCAUUAGCGAGACUACUGUAUUGCAUUACAUAGUUCAAUUAUUGAUGGAAAGAAAUUUUCUUGUGUUUCUAUUUUCCUUGAUUUUCAUAUAAUAGCUUUUAUCAGCUUUAAUCUAAUACUUUUUAACCGAAGAAAUUAUCUUAAAAUCAUAAAUUGCAAGAUCUGUUAUUCUAAAUAAACUAAUUCUAUCUUGACCCAUUUUUUUUUACUACAAAAUUCUCCUCCUUUCAAUGUAAUUUGCGUUAAAGUACACAAAUUUGAACAUUAAUAAAAAAGGCAUAAUAAUUAUAAAUUUAAUUAAAUUCUAAAUAGGGAAAUGUGUACCUACGAAAAAUAAUCUUACAAAUAUCGUUAUUAGAAUGAAUAGGAUUUGAUGAUUUGGCCAAACGUAAAAUUAUUAAAUUCGAACAAAAAUGUUCAAUUCUCCAUCGAUCUUUUUCUCAUAAAAUUCCUUCUCAAUCUUCGUAUAUCCCAUUUUUUAACUAAAAAGAGCGAAAGAAUUUUAUCACCAAGUAAAGUUGAAUUUUUUAAAUAUACAUAGCAGGGGGUUCGAUUAAAGGAAAAUAUUUUUCUAAGAAUUCGGUUUCCGUCGAAUUCCGUUGUUCGCUACACUGUUAUUACAUCAGCUUAAAACAUUAAAAGUCCUAUCUCCGUCGUCGUUUCAACGAUUUGUACUCGCGUUUGGUUUGCACAAAUAGCAAACACGACUGUGAAAAUUUUACAGGAGCCGUCGCCACAGUUCUCGUCGACGACGCUAUCAAUGUUUACGUUUUACUUUAAUUAUACAGCGCACACGCGGUUUUAUUAAUAAAGUAAAGGCUGCCAAGAAGGUUGCAUCGUAUCACGUAUACAGGGUAGGCAAUGAAUGAACUAUUUUUUGACUUUGUUUUACCGGAUAUUCAUUCGAAACAUUGUGGCAAUUUUGUAAAAUAAUUUAUUAACUGAUUACUAGGCUGCGAAUGUUCUCAUG
This is a long non-coding RNA of Bombus pyrosoma, 5546 nucleotides long. RefSeq lists it as uncharacterized. The transcript is spliced from 5 exons. NCBI's taxonomy places the organism in Eukaryota, Metazoa, Arthropoda, Insecta, Hymenoptera, Apidae. The record is from RefSeq and is a predicted model, not a curated record.